UGAGGGGGAUAUUUGGGGGGCAAUGGGGGGCAACCCUGACCCAGCGACGCCGCGUGAGGGAAGACGGUCUUCGGAUUGUAAACCUCUGUCUUUGGGGACGAAAAGGACGGUACCCAAGGAGGAAGCUCCGGCUAACUACGUGCCAGCAGCCGCGGUAAUACGUAGGGAGCGAGCGUUGUCCGGAAUUACUGGGUGUAAAGGGAGCGUAGGCGGGAAAACAAGUUGGAUGUGAAAACUGCGGGCUUAACCUGCAGACUGCAUUCAAAACUGUUUUCUUGAGUGAAGUAGAGGCAAGCGGAAUUCCUAGUGUAGCGGUGAAAUGCGUAGAUAUUAGGAGGAACACCAGUGGCGAAGGCGGCUUGCUGGGGCUUUUACUGACGCUGAGGCUCGAAAGUGUGGGGAGCAAACAGGAUUAGAUACCCUGGUAGU
RNAcentral lists this ribosomal RNA (429 nucleotides) under uncultured Anaerotruncus sp. Its description in RNAcentral is "bacterial SSU rRNA". It matches the Rfam family "Bacterial small subunit ribosomal RNA", at positions 351 to 794 of the family's 1533-position model. Lineage: Bacteria; Bacillati; Bacillota; Clostridia; Eubacteriales; Oscillospiraceae. The record is from RNAcentral.